RNAcentral lists this ribosomal RNA (118 nucleotides) under Salmonella enterica subsp. enterica serovar Cerro. RNAcentral's name for it is "partial 23S ribosomal RNA". The stretch from base 1 to 106 matches the Rfam family "Bacterial large subunit ribosomal RNA", at positions 2820 to 2925 of the family's 2925-position model. The record is from RNAcentral. Lineage: Bacteria; Pseudomonadati; Pseudomonadota; Gammaproteobacteria; Enterobacterales; Enterobacteriaceae.
AGGUCUCCUGAAGGAACGUUGAAGACGACGACGUUGAUAGGCCGGGUGUGUAAGCGCAGCGAUGCGUUGAGCUAACCGGUACUAAUGAACCGUGAGGUUUAACCUUACAACGCCGAAG